AGGUCUCAUGGCAGAAUGAAGGAAUUUACCAAAGCCAAGCCCUUUGACUCUGGGCCUAUCUAUUUCUUUGAUCAGUUGAAACCUGAACGGAAAGAUGGGAAAAGAUAACCUGUGAAGAAAGUUAUCCCACCCAAAAUGCACCUCAAGAGCUAAGUGUUGGAUCUUUCAACAUCCUUACUCAAAAUGGGAAAUUCUGAAGUGGAAGACAGUCCCCAGUAUAGCUGUGAAGAGACUACAAGUAGCCAUAAUUCAAAUCAAAAUAGAAGAAGCAAAGCAAAAAAAAGAGGGCGUCAACAAACAACUUAUCCGGCGCCGCUAUGAGGACCUGGAAGGCGUGGAGGAGAGCAGGGAUCAGCAGUGCUCACAGAGUUUCUGGCUGGAGCUGCUGGAGAAGAAGCCUCAGAUGCCAAUUGUCAAAAAGGCUGACCCCAACAUGAAAAAAUUCCAUUACGCUCUGG
RNAcentral lists this long non-coding RNA (458 nucleotides) under Homo sapiens (human). RNAcentral's name for it is "non-protein coding lnc-USP44-4:1". Lineage: Eukaryota; Metazoa; Chordata; Mammalia; Primates; Hominidae. The record is from RNAcentral.